RNAcentral lists this ribosomal RNA (716 nucleotides) under uncultured bacterium. Its description in RNAcentral is "bacterial SSU rRNA". It matches the Rfam family "Bacterial small subunit ribosomal RNA", at positions 777 to 1500 of the family's 1533-position model. The record is from RNAcentral.
AUUAGAUACCCUGGGUAGUCCACGCAGUAAACGAUGAAUACUAGCUGUUCGGGGCAAAUGAGCCUUGAGUGGCACAGCGAAAGCGUUAAGUAUUCCACCUGGGGAGUACGCCGGCAACGGUGAAACUCAAAGGAAUUGACGGGGGCCCGCACAAGCGGAGGAACAUGUGGUUUAAUUCGAUGAUACGCGAGGAACCUUACCCGGGCUCAAACGCAGCAGGAAUACUUUUGAAAGGAGGUAGCUCUACGGAGCCUGCUGCGAGGUGCUGCAUGGUUGUCGUCAGCUCGUGCCGUGAGGUGUCGGCUUAAGUGCCAUAACGAGCGCAAUCCCUAUCGACAGUUGCUAACGAGUCAGGUCGAGGACUCUGUCGAGACUGCCGGCGCAAGCUGUGAGGAAGGCGGGGAUGACGUCAAAUCAGCACGGCCCUUACGUCCGGGGCGACACACGUGUUACAAUGGCGACUACAGCGGGAAGCCACUUGGCGACAAGGAGCGGAACCCGAAAAGUCGUCUCAGUUCGGAUUGGAGUCUGCAACUCGACUCCAUGAAGCUGGAUUCGCUAGUAAUCGCGCAUCAGCCAUGGCGCGGUGAAUACGUUCCCGGGCCUUGUACACACCGCCCGUCAAGCCAUGGAAGCCGGGGGUGCCUGAAGUGCGUGACCGUAAGGAGCGCCCUAAGGUAAAACCGGUGACUGGGGCUAAGUCGUAACAAGGUACC